This 209-nucleotide long non-coding RNA is filed under the name Gossypium barbadense (sea-island cotton). RNAcentral's name for it is "long non-coding RNA (GBAR_LNC001967)". Lineage: Eukaryota; Viridiplantae; Streptophyta; Magnoliopsida; Malvales; Malvaceae. The record is from RNAcentral.
AAAUUUUAAAACCGAGACCAAUCCAACCAACCAAUUCAUUUCAAUCAAUUUGAUACCAAAUUAUACUACUAUUAUAAUUAUACUAUUUAACAUAUUCAUCAUUCUUUACUUUAAUGUAUAUUUCUUAAACAAGUCUUAAUAUUUAUAUAAUCAUCAAACCUUAUACAUGCCAUAUAAAUCAAAAAGAAAUUUACAAAAGCUACCGGAGA